This 505-nucleotide ribosomal RNA is filed under the name uncultured bacterium. Its description in RNAcentral is "partial 16S ribosomal RNA". It matches the Rfam family "Bacterial small subunit ribosomal RNA", at positions 28 to 507 of the family's 1533-position model. The record is from RNAcentral.
GACGAACGCUGGCGGCGUGCCUAAUACAUGCAAGUAGAACGCACAGUUUAUACCGUAGCUUGCUACACCAUAGACUGUGAGUUGCGAACGGGUGAGUAACGCGUAGGUAACCUGCCUGGUAGCGGGGGAUAACUAUUGGAAACGAUAGCUAAUACCGCAUAAUAUUGAUUAUUGCAUGAUAAUUAAUUGAAAGGUGCAAUUGCACCACUACCAGAUGGACCUGCGUUGUAUUAGCUAGUAGGUGAGGUAACGGCUCACCUAGGCGACGAUACAUAGCCGAACUGAGAGGGUGAUCGGCCACACUGGGACUGAGACACGGCCCAGACUCCUACGGGAGGCAGCAGUAGGGAAUCUUCGGCAAUGGACGAAAGUCUGACCGAGCAACGCCGCGUGAGUGAAGAAGGGUUUCGGAUCGUAAAGCUCUGUUGUAAGAGAAGAACGGGUGUGAGAGUGGAAAGUUCACACUGUGACGGUAUCUUACCAGAAAGGGACGGCUAACUACGUG